This 253-nucleotide ribosomal RNA is filed under the name uncultured bacterium. Its description in RNAcentral is "partial 16S ribosomal RNA". It matches the Rfam family "Bacterial small subunit ribosomal RNA", at positions 524 to 776 of the family's 1533-position model. The record is from RNAcentral.
UACGGAGGGUGCGAGCGUUGUCCGGAAUCAUUGGGCGUAAAGGGCGCGUAGGUGGCCCGGUCAGCGUGCGGUGAAAGCUCGGGGCUCAACCCCGAGUCGGCCGUGCGAACUGCUGGGCUUGAGCACUGUAGAGGCAGGCGGAAUUCCGGGUGUAGCGGUGGAAUGCGUAGAGAUCGGAAAGAACACCAACGGCGAAAGCACUCUGCUGGGCCGACACUGACACUGAGAGACGAAAGCUAGGGGAGCAAAUGGG